RNAcentral lists this ribosomal RNA (418 nucleotides) under Salmonella enterica subsp. enterica. RNAcentral's name for it is "bacterial SSU rRNA". It matches the Rfam family "Bacterial small subunit ribosomal RNA", at positions 611 to 1028 of the family's 1533-position model. The record is from RNAcentral. Lineage: Bacteria; Pseudomonadati; Pseudomonadota; Gammaproteobacteria; Enterobacterales; Enterobacteriaceae.
AACCUGGGAACUGCAUUCGAAACUGGCAGGCUUGAGUCUUGUAGAGGGGGGUAGAAUUCCAGGUGUAGCGGUGAAAUGCGUAGAGAUCUGGAGGAAUACCGGUGGCGAAGGCGGCCCCCUGGACAAAGACUGACGCUCAGGUGCGAAAGCGUGGGGAGCAAACAGGAUUAGAUACCCUGGUAGUCCACGCCGUAAACGAUGUCUACUUGGAGGUUGUGCCCUUGAGGCGUGGCUUCCGGAGCUAACGCGUUAAGUAGACCGCCUGGGGAGUACGGCCGCAAGGUUAAAACUCAAAUGAAUUGACGGGGGCCCGCACAAGCGGUGGAGCAUGUGGUUUAAUUCGAUGCAACGCGAAGAACCUUACCUGGUCUUGACAUCCACAGAAGAAUCCAGAGAUGGAUUUGUGCCUUCGGGAACU